RNAcentral lists this ribosomal RNA (484 nucleotides) under uncultured bacterium. Its description in RNAcentral is "partial 16S ribosomal RNA". It matches the Rfam family "Bacterial small subunit ribosomal RNA", at positions 28 to 523 of the family's 1533-position model. The record is from RNAcentral.
GACGAACGCUGGCGGCGUGCUUAACACAUGCAAGUCGAACGAUGAAGCCGGAGCUUGCUCUGGUGAAUUAGUGGCGAACGGGUGAGUAACACGUGAGUAACCUGCCCUUGACUCUGGGAUAACUGCUAGAAAUGGUAGCUAAUACCGGAUACGACCCUCGGCGGCAUCGCCAGGGGGUGGAAAGAAUUUCGGUCAAGGAUGGACUCGCGGCCUAUCAGCUAGUUGGUGAGGUAACGGCUCACCAAGGCGACGACGGGUAGCCGGCCUGGGAGGGUGACCGGCCACACUGGGACUGAGACACGGCCCAGACUCCUACGGGAGGCAGCAGUGGGGAAUAUUGCACAAUGGGCGCAAGCCUGAUUCAGCAACGCCGCGUGAGGGAUGACGGCCUUCGGGUUGUAAACCUCUUUUAGUAGGGAAGAAGCGAAAGUGACGGUACCUGCAGAAAAAGCACCGGCUAACUACGUGCCAGCAGCCGCGGUAA